GUCCCCGUAGUUCAGCGGAUAGAAUGCCAGCUUGCGGAGCUGGAGGUCGCAGGUUCGAAUCCUGCCGGGGACG
Molecule: transfer RNA, 73 nt
Filed under: Candidatus Sungiibacteriota bacterium
Lineage: Bacteria; Candidatus Sungiibacteriota
Description: Candidatus Sungbacteria bacterium tRNA-Arg
Rfam family: tRNA
About the family: Transfer RNA (tRNA) molecules are approximately 80 nucleotides in length. Their secondary structure includes four short double-helical elements and three loops (D, anti-codon, and T loops).
Source: RNAcentral